AUUGAACGCUGGCGGCAUGCUUUACACAUGCAAGUCGAACGGUACAGGGAGCUUGCUCCGCUGACGAGUGGCGAACGGGUGAGUAAUGCAUCGGAACGUACCCAGUCGUGGGGGAUAACGUAGCGAAAGUUACGCUAAUACCGCAUACGUCCUGAGGGAGAAAGCGGGGGACCGAAAGGCCUCGCGCGAUUGGAGCGGCCGAUGUCGGAUUAGCUAGUUGGUAGGGUAAAGGCCUACCAAGGCGACGAUCCGUAGCGGGUCUGAGAGGAUGAUCCGCCACACUGGGACUGAGACACGGCCCAGACUCCUACGGGAGGCAGCAGUGGGGAAUUUUGGACAAUGGGCGCAAGCCUGAUCCAGCCAUGCCGCGUGAGUGAAGAAGGCCUUCGGGUUGUAAAGCUCUUUCAGGUGGAAAGAAAACGCAUGGGUCAAUACCCUGUGUGGAUGACGGUACCAUCAGAAGAAGCACCGGCUAACUACGUG
RNAcentral lists this ribosomal RNA (483 nucleotides) under uncultured bacterium. Its description in RNAcentral is "bacterial SSU rRNA". It matches the Rfam family "Bacterial small subunit ribosomal RNA", at positions 30 to 507 of the family's 1533-position model. The record is from RNAcentral.